GAAAAAAAACAAAAUCGAAGUUAAAAGGAAGUUGAAGCAGUUUGUAUUUAUUUAAUUGUUUUAGAACGCAUGUAAAAACCACAAACAGGCCAAUCUCGAGCAAACAGCAUUGAAUGUCAAGAUCACGUCACGUCACGUGCUGGCGGUUGUGGUGUCGGAAAAUCGAUUUGCGGUUUUCCGAUCUGGUUUCUGCCACGGUUGAUCGCGUCAAGUGCGCUGGAGAGAUAUAAAGUGGCUGUGAAGCAGUUUACCCAAUAGAUCACUCUCGGACGGAGAGUUCCAGUGGUAAUAAAACACCCUCUCACCCAAGUGUUUGCCUUGGCACUUGAGGGUUGUAAGUUGGUUGUGGUUGCCUUCGAAGGAUUUAAACAGUGAUUUAUGGCUUUUCUAUUUAUUUUUUUCAUUUUUUACCAAAUAGGACACUUCAAACUUUUUUUAAUUUGUUACUUUUGGACUACAGAUCUCAAGAAGCUUUUGUUUUCACAAAUUUAUUUAUUUAUCAUAAAUCAAUAAAAUAUGGUUUAAUUUGAAGCCACAAUGUAUGGCCAAAACAAAUAAAAUUUAUGUUAAACUAUAAAAGUGUCACAUAGAUCAAAACCAAAACCUUGAAGGAAAGUCAAUAAAAACUAAGUUGUUCUUUACUACCGUGAAAUCGAUUGGUCAAACCCCAAAAAUCAUCAACUCGCUUUGCGCAACAACCACCGACCAACAUCGAUCAGCAUCCAGAGGAACUCAAAUUUCUCACCCUCCUCCCAACUUUUCACAUGUCAAACGCUCUUGUGAUGUUUUCCCGCUGCGGAGCUAACCAACUACUUCGGGGUCGUGUAUUUACUUUAGAACGGCUUCCACAGCAGCGCUUAGCAAACCAAACAAAAAUAAAUCCAGAUCUUCGUCGCGUCCCCGUCGGGACCGCCAUCUAAUAAACAUUGAGGUGCUAACUUGUUGAGCCAUUCGGAUGGGGUUCGCGGUGCUCCGCCGGGGUGGGAUCAAUCAUCAUCGGUUGGUGGUCGGAUUUUAUUUUUCAUACAUAUCAUCAUAUACAUACUUAGUAAUUAUUCAAAAGCCGUCGGAUUUUUAACUGCAUGAAAUGUGGUUGGACAUUUCCGUGUAUUUGCAGAUUCAAAUAGUACAUGAAAUUUCCUUUAAAAUUACAUGCCCCGCAUUUUUUCGAAUGUUUAAAAAUCAGGGACCAAAGAAACAACGUUUCGCGUAAAUCGAAGAGGUCGAGGCAACUUUUUUCCGAUUUCGUGUGAGUUGGCAGAGUGUAACAGUUGCACUUGUUAGCAUUUAUUUAAUUAUUUAUUUAUUUUGGUUUUUCCGUUCGUCUUUAAAUGUAAUUUGAUCUCCGUUACCACGGUAAUCAAUGUAGGUGAUGUUAGCCCUCACGAUCGUUGGUAACUUUCGUUACUGGUUUAAGACCUGGAGAGAGAAUCUCGCGGAGGUCGCUCAUAUGUUGAAUCCCUCGGGAAGACGGAAAGGGACGGUCAGAGCCAUUGCCGACCGCUAGAGUGGGACGGGAACUCAGAUCUUUAAAGAUCCGAAGAAGCCCGAGGCAAUCUCCGGGAAACGGCGUGCCAAAAGUACGUCUGGGGCCACCUUCCCCGUUCUGAGGAAGCUAGUACUCGUUCACUUUGUCCCAGACCUUUGUGAAGUGUGGAGUGCGCGGACUUUUAUCCCGGGUUCCCCAGUCCAGUCCUGAGAUCUCGUCGAAGCUAGAAUUGUGUGCGAUAGUGUGUGCGACGAAGUGAGCCCUAGUGCGGCCUAGAUAAAGAUCAGUUCGAAGGCUUCGCUUCCUUUCGCCCUACCAGCCAAGCAGCACCAGUAGGAGGUCGAGCGCGCGUCCACCGCCGCCCCGCAUCGAGUGUGGGACAAGUUUUGACCUGGCACACGUUACAUCGCCAGAAGAGACGAGCCGUCAACAUCUCGUCUGGAGGCGUUUCUAUCCGCCCACGUGCUGGCCCGGUAAGCCAAGUUCCGGCCCGCGCAACAUCAUCGAAGUCGACCGCGCCCUCGCAGGUCGAACCGGCAGCGUCGGCCACGCCGUCCGCGAGCACGCGGUGAACAUCAGUAGCAGCAUCAACAAGUAACAGGUGCAGCAGUCCGGUGAGUCCGUUCUUUUUCUGCGGGUGAAGGGUGACGGCAACGAAAGGCGUCACGAACGUUUUUCCGUUCCGGCUGCGGCCGUAAAGCGGACGCCAUUUUGAUGGAGGGCGUCCAUUUUGUUUAAGCGCGUGUUGAUCACGCGCCCGGAGUGUGUCGGCCUUUAUUGACUCGCCCCACACGUCCACGACAUCGCACUCUAGUGCCUUUGUCUGCCGCAGUCCGCUUGACUGCCGGUGACGUCAGCGAUCAGCUGUUCCAGCUGACGAGCUGAAGAUUUGAGGUCGAAGGUUUGAAGCACAAAAGCACGGGGUAACAGAAGAACGAAGAGUAGACAGUAGGAAGAGCAAACGCACACAGUAGGGAGAUGUCUAGCCGCUGGAACAGAACAAUGAAUGAAAUACACAAACCUUAGACUAGUCCAAUAAAAUGAGCACCUCUUUCUGAUUUCCUACCUACUAAAUAAUGAGUUAUUGUUUUGGAGUUAAAUAAAGUCCCUGCAGUUAAAAUGAGCUCACGUGUUAGUUUUUUUGGUCGAUCCGGAACGCUGCUUCCGUCACUUUAGGGUCCGUUGCCAGUCCUUUCCUCCCCAAUGCAAAAGUUCUGCGUAUUUCCCAUGCUUCGUGAAGUUCUCUGGUGGCGGGUGUCGGUACUACCCAUGAUGAUUCAUACGCAGCCCUCUGUCACUGCCGCCAUGUUUAUGAAACCAAAAUAUUCGAUGACGAACAUCAAAAAAACAAAGAAGAAAACGAAGUUGUCUACUGUCAGAUUAUGAAUAAUAAACAAAGUGCAUAUACGUUUCUUAAAUUAUGUUCUUGUUACACUUGCCGCAUGUCCAGGACUCUUUUAAGAAUGUUCCUUCCACCAAGACAUUUUCGUUCCCCGGUCCCAGAUUUUCCCGGUCGAUUCGGAUUUUUCCUUAAAACUGGUUCAUCCUUCUUUGCUUUUGUAAAGGUUCUUUACUUACUCAACGACUUACUCCUGACGGGUUCUUGCUCCGAAACAACGAGAACCGGUUCCGGUACCAGUCUUCGGAAGAGGUGAAAUUAUUUCUGCUUCUCCGGUUGCUCAUCCCGCCAGCCUAUCUAAGAGCUCCUUCGAUUCCGGCUCCAUACACACACGAUAUACGUCCGGAAAUAUGACCAAGAUAAAAAGGACCACUCACCACUUAAACCGAAUUUUGUAAUAUUAAUACACAAAAAUAUUAUUUUUGGUUAACUUUUUUCACGUUCGCCAUUUCUCUAUUUUGAUGUAAACAAUAAGAAGACACCAAUACUUCUUCAUCCAAAGCUUUGUUUAUGGUGGGCUCUUCACACAUACUAAUGCAAAUACUCUAUCCAAUACUUUGUUUAUGGUGGGCUCUUCACAUAUACUAAUGCGUGGGCUCUUCGAGGUUUUGGUAACUGUCAAACGUUCUAGACACUUACAGUAGUGCCAGAGGGCUGUUCAUACGGGCACGGGGGGGGUCCUAUACUGGCGGAUUGCUAAGGAGCUUUUUCGGGAGGCUGAGCUUUCCGUACCGUUCUUGUGGGUCACUUUGGUACGCUGGCCGAUUCGAUCUUGCUUCUUCCCUGGGAAGAAGUUCAACCGAGCACCUCUUCGAGAGUCUCAAACCGGGCAAAUUUAACAUGGCGGGCAGUCUCGUGGCGCAGGGGUAGCGGCUUCGGCUGCCGAUCCCGAUGAUGCUAUGAGACGCGGGUUCGAUUCCCGCCUUAUCCACUGAGCUUCUAUCGGAUGGUGAAGUAAAACGUCGGUCCCGGUUUCUCCUGUCUCGUCAGAGGCGCUGGAGCAGAAAUCCCACGUUAGAGGAAGGCCAUGCCCCGGGGGGCGUAGUGCCAAUAGUUUCGUUUUUGCCCUCACGGGAGUGGCGCAUAAGCUGCACCGUUCGCAACCGAUCGAAUCGCAACGGCUACAAGAGAAUGACCCAUUUUACUUUCGAACUACUUAUCGAAUGUUCAAACAAAUACCUCAUUGACAAAGACAAAAUAAUUUGGCGCUGGUUUGCAGCGAAAAAAAAAAAAUUAAUACGCCGUGAGUUGGUUUUUUUUUUGUAUUCUUAACUUAUUUCUCUCAUGAUAGCGUGCACCUCCACAGCAUCCAGGUUGUGCGAUUCCUUGAGGUACUUCUUGACGUAUUCAGGUGAAGCCGGUGGAAGUCCUCUGACGUUGACGAGGCUUCGUUUCUCGGCAGAAAAAACAACCGCUGUCUUCGGCUGUCAGGCGAAAACUCAGUCCGUGAGGUGGUUGAUGCCUCCCUCACAAUCAUAGGGGAGAGUGGGGGGACUUGAUCCCCGGGGACACUUGAUCCCAAGCCUGUAUCUCGUCAGCAUGUAGGUAAAACAAUUAGCUUUGUUCUAGAAAGUUGUGCGAAAUCGACUAAAACUUAUUGUAGAAAACAAGGAAAAAAAUUAAAAAAUGUUUAGAUUGAGUUACACACAUUUUUCUAAAAAGUGCUGCAAAAAACUUCCAAGAGAUCUUUUUUCUUUGUUUUGAUAAGUAUAGAAAACAUUCAAAAAUUAUUUAAAAAAAAUAUUUUUUAUACCUGAAUUGUUUGAUAAACAUAUCAACUCCAAAACCCUUACGCAUUCGACGUUAAAUUUAUCGUCAUACUAUUUUUACUAUCAAUUGUUUAAAAAAGUGCGUUUAGGGAGACUUGAUCCCUGCAUUUUUACAGUCACUGGAAUCAGCCUCAAGAUUAAAUAAUUGGGCUGGGUUUUCGUACAUAGUUUCCUUUAGUAUAGUUGUACAUAACUUACUGCAGUUUUAACCAUUUUUCAAAACUUUUGCAAACAAAAAUUACCAGCUUUUGUAAACUUGCUCAAUUUUGGUCUAAAAAAGAAAAUUUCAAGUUUUUAAAUAUAUUGCAUGCUAAACUUGUUAUAUUUUGAACACAAACGUACAGGUUUAAUGUGAAAUUGCUGUAACUUAUAGAAAAUUUAAAGUUUGGAUGAAUAAGAAACAUUUUGCUUAAAAUUUCUUCAAAAUGUUGAAAUGGGGAUCAAAUUACCCCCAACAUUUUGAAAAUGCCGGUUUAAAAUAUUUUUUUUAAACGCUUGGCAUGAUUCGAAGAGUUUGUCUGAUGUAAUACCCUUAUCAGCCAAACAAAGUUGAAUGUUCAAGCUUUCAAUUCAUGCAAAAAGUUCAUAGUUUUGUGAGAAAUUGACAGAGUUAUGUGCGAUACAAAAAAAGGGGAUCAAGUCUCCCCACUCUCCCCUAUAGUUUUGUUUCUGGACUUUUACAUUUUAAGAUAUGAAUUCCGAAAUCCGGAUCUUCCGGUGGCCUGUACUCCGGCCACCAGUUUGUGCAGUAUGAUUUUUCAUUGGAUUAUUGUACCUGGUGCAAAAAAGAAGCUUUUGAUGUAUAACAAUCGAUGGUUUGCGCGAAACUAUAUUGGGGUGAUUUUUUGGAUCCUUUUAUCCCACUGUGCAAUGUUUUACAUUUGUUUAUAGAACCUUAUGAAUGAGAAAUGUUCUCUGAAUAUAAUUCAAAUUUGUCAGGGGAGUUCUUUGGCCAAAAUAAUAUGACCCGUAUUUUUUUUUUGUUUGGCGAUUAGGGUGGUGGUUAUCCAAAAUAGGGUGGUCCAAAAAAUAGCAUAGCAUAGCAUAGCAUUGGUGUCUACCCGUAGCUGCUUUUCGUUAUUGACCAGGACCUCCAAAAAUUGCUCCGUGAACCACAGAUGAAAAUUAGGAACCAAUCAUCACCCCUUCGCAAUUUUCAAAGGUCCCUAUCAUGCUGAUCAAUACCGACGCCGGCCACGACCAUUGGUAAGACACGGGGAAGUGGAUGGGAAUGUUAGUCCGAUACUUGAGUGAUGGGACCGCUAAAUCGGCUGCGUCUCCGACAAAGUAUUGCAUGAGUUUUGAGGGGUUAGUAAGAUGGGUAUGAGGUCAGGAUUCACUGUGGUAGGCGAUGCGACCAUAAGCAAUUUGUUUAUCUGUUAAAAUUUUAAAAAUCUUAGGCAGCCGGCUGCGGAAAGAUACAUAAUUGAUUAUUUAAAAACUUUUUAAAUCGAACGCGUGCCAACCGAGCAGUAGUGCUAUGGGCUGGACUUAUCAGUAUAUUUUUACUGUUUAUACGAUAACGCGAAUAAAUUUCAAAAAUAGUAAAUAAAAGACGCUUUACUCUUCAUAAAAUGGAUAGUUUGAUGAGUUAAUACUAAAACUGCCAGUUGGAAUAAAUUAUUACGAUUAACAAAUUUUAACGAAAAGAAAAGAGACGAGUAAACGAUUGUGAUGAAAUUAAAGCAAUAACUUAAACGAACUAAACCGGCGAUUCUUUUUUCGCUCCAAUCUGUGUGCCUCUGCGGUG
Molecule: long non-coding RNA, 6407 nt
Organism: Culex pipiens pallens (northern house mosquito)
Lineage: Eukaryota; Metazoa; Arthropoda; Insecta; Diptera; Culicidae
Exons: 3
Source: RefSeq, a predicted model, not a curated record